UUUUUAUAGAAUUUUGCUAAAAAUAUUCAAUUUUAAAUAUUAAUAAUUAAUUAACUAACAUGUACAUCAUAGUAAAACCUAAAAGGGCAUAUUAAUAUAAGAAAUAACACAAUAUUUCAAUACAAAAAUAUAUCAAAGUGUACUAUAGUUUUACAAACUAAAUUGAAAUGUCAUUCACUUCAACCAUUACGAUUACAAGAAACUUCAAAUCUUGCUUGAACUUCAAAUCACUACAAAAACUUGCUUAAACUUCAAAUCACUAGCAUCCAAACUCAAGAUAGGAUCUGCAACAGUUCAUGAAACUCAGCGGAUUUCACUACGAUAUCACCUGGCUGCAAAGAGAAAUACACAAUAAGCGACUUCAUCCAAACUCAAAACAUGGAUGAAUAUAGCAUACUUGAUGAAUUUAGUACUACCAGCCAGUUAAGUUAUAUGGUGGAAUAAGACAUGUUAGUUGACAAGAAUAUAUUACAACAAUAACAACAUAAUACACAGUGAAAUUUCACAAGCGGGUUUGGGAAAGGUAGAAUAUACGCACAAGUAAUGACUUAUCCCCAGUUACGCUUGUCAGGGAGCAAAAGGAAAACAAUUACUAUUGUUUAUGUCCAGCCAAAUAAUACAACUUACAGAGUUAAGAGCCUGCUCAAGAAAUACAUCAGUAGCUACCUUUUUGUGUAACUCAAACCAAUUGGGUCUGCGAUGGCCACAAGCCACUACUCCCCUGUACUAAUUUUACUUUUUAAUGAAAUGCUUCAUAUUUCCUUACCAAAAAAAAAGUAACAACAAAUGGGUCCUAGUUAGAUAAAGUCUAAAGAUUAAUUCAUUGGGAAAAGAAAUUAAUUAGUAAUAUCUAUAUGGCUAGAUCUCACAUUAGUUGUACACUGAAAUGUACCUCUAAUCCUUAAUUCUUUGAAGUAUCAAAGUUCCAGAGAAAAAGAUUUUACUUACCAAUGCCAACCACCUUGCUAUGCCUAUAUAACAUAAUUAUAGGUGCAGUAAGUUCUCAAGACAAUGUAAAAUAUUCAUUAAACAACACCAACAACUAUAUAAAAGCUAUAACUUGAAAUGUAAAAGUCCAACUAGUGAAUUAGAAAAUACCAGUUACUAUUCAGAUGAUCAAUUAUAAUUUUUUGAAAAGGCACAAUUACUAAAAAUAAUGUGACCUCUCAAAACUGAACAUGAGUCUAAUGAUGCUUAGGAUUGGGUCUGUUGGGAGAAAUUGAAUUUUGCUUGCAAAAAGAGUCCACUGGCCAUCCAAGAUGUAAUCUUGGCAAUAAUCUUGUCCACUAAGGGUUUAAUUGGACUAUUGUAAGCCUUUUAGGUGUCGUUUAAUACAAAGAUUAAUAAUGUAGGGAUUAGUAAUGCAAGGUUCCUUAGUAAAAUUGUUUGGCACACCUAGAUAUUUGAAACAGAGUUCUCCAACCUCAUAUCCAAGCAUAGUCAAGAUGGUUUCCUUAGUAAAUUUGUUAAUACCUUCAAAACAUACCUGACUUUUCAAAAUGAUGGUCUUCAAAUCAGAAGCAUCAGAAAACAUAUUGAAUUUACCCCUCGAUAGUUGUAGUUGUAUAGAUCUGACAUCUCAUCUAGUAAAUAUAGUAAGUCAACAGCAACAAAGUACUGAUUCAAAACUGAUGUCAACAUCUAGAUGGAAAAAAAUGUUUCAUCAAACUUUCUUAGUUGUAAAUCAGCACAACUACAAAGAAAAAAGACAUUCUUGCAACUCUUCCAAAUCUGUUUGGGUUAAAGGAAUUUUGCAUUUAACUAUCAUUCCAUCUUCACUAACUAUCUAAAGGACAAAAUCAAAUAAAAAAAUACAAUAAACUCACAAGAUUUGUAGAGCGUCGCAGAACUUGAGCGAGUUGUGCAUGACUGCUUAUAAGAGCUUUUAUCUUCUUCAACAAUGCAGCCACAAAUAUUGACACUAUAGCACGAAAAAAUAGUGCAAACUGUCUUAAAGAAAGAUCUCAUCAGAAAAAUGAGAACCAAAUUUAAAAAGAAUAGCUGAAAAGUAGAUGAAACUUACGGAAAUAGCUGGGAAUAUAGACGAAAUCAGGUUCAGUAAUGUGGGAGGAGAUAGUGGUGGGAGUGACGUCUUUGGGAUCGGUGGCAAAAGGGAUGGUUGGGUUUGGGGACAAUUCCAGUUGUUGGGGAUGAUCGUAACAUGUAUACUCAAUAUACUCGAUAUGGUUAGUCAAUCGAUAAAGUGAAACAACCUUAUGGUGCUACUUCUAAUCCUACACAGGCUGAUGACGCGACAAGAAAGAACAGUUCAUCAUCAAACAAGUUGAAAACACCACAUUUCUCCAAUAUCACCACCUUAUAACAUAGAAACAAAUAUCAUAUCUCUCAAAUUUACCAGAUUCACUUACAACUAACAAAAAUCAAUUAAGAAGUUAAUCUAUCCAACCAAAAAAUCAAUUACUAGCAAGUUAUUCUCUAUGUAAACCUUAUUUAAUUAGAUUAUCCAUAUUGAAACCCUAAAGAAUCGAAGUUUAGGGGAAAUCCAAAAAGUACAAUAGUUAUAAACCUUAGAAAGAGCUGAAGCUUCUCCAUGGUGCAGGACGUAGGGCAACGAGCCUAUUGGAGCAUUCUUUUACUCCAAAAUCGGCGAAGAUAUUGCAGAUUUUCUGAAACUAAAAUAGAUUCAAAAUACAAAUCUCAAAACUUUUUACAAACAAUUUGAAGUUGAGAAAAAAAAAAUCAGUUGAUUUAUAGAUUGAAAAUGCAUGAAAAUGAGGAAAAGAGAACUCAUUUUUGAAGCUUUCGAUGUCUAAAUUAAGGAGCAAUUGUUAAAUAGAGAGAAAUUGGGAAGUAAGAGAGGAGAAGAGAAGUAUGAACCAACGAUACCGCCAAUCGCCACCGCCGCCUCCAUCUUUUCCUACUCCGACCACUGUUAUUGUGGAUGAAGACAGUGAUAGCUCCGCCACCAUGGAUUCGCCACCGUGCCGCCUCCAUCACUUCCUACUCCAACCCUAAUUAUCAUAUGAAAAUUGAUCAGUUCGGGAUCGCAGAAAAUAGAAUGAAACUUUUUUUUAUUUGGGGAUUAAAUGAGCAACGAUAUAAAAUUUUAUUUUUUAGGAUAGCGGCGGGUAAUAACCCCACAAAUUCUACUAAAAUUAUAGGGGUUAAUCAAACCUCCGUAAUUUGAUGUAAUUUGUGGGGGUUGAGUUAACCUCCAUUAUAAAACCUCUAGGAUUUAAGUGUUUUUUUGUAGUGGAU
RNAcentral lists this long non-coding RNA (3219 nucleotides) under Solanum tuberosum (potato). RNAcentral describes it as "long non-coding RNA (STUB_LNC009495)". Lineage: Eukaryota; Viridiplantae; Streptophyta; Magnoliopsida; Solanales; Solanaceae. The record is from RNAcentral.